CUGUGAGCUCGAUGAGUAGGGCGGGACACGUGGUAUCCUGUCUGAAUAUGGGGGGACCAUCCUCCAAGGCUAAAUACUCCUGACUGACCGAUAGUGAACCAGUACCGUGAGGGAAAGGCGAAAAGAACCCCGGCGAGGGGAGUGAAAAAGAACCUGAAACCGUGUACGUACAAGCAGUGGGAGCACGCUUCGGCGUGUGACUGCGUACCUUUUGUAUAAUGGGUCAGCGACUUAUAUUCUGUAGCAAGGUUAACCGAAUAGGGGAGCCGAAGGGAAACCGAGUCUUAACUGGGCGUUAAGUUGCAGGGUAUAGACCCGAAACCCGGUGAUCUAGCCAUGGGCAGGUUGAAGGUUGGGUAACACUAACUGGAGGACCGAACCGACUAAUGUUGAAAAAUUAGCGGAUGACUUGUGGCUGGGGGUGAAAGGCCAAUCAAACCGGGAGAUAGCUGGUUCUCCCCGAAAGCUAUUUAGGUAGCGCCUCGUGAAUUCAUCUCCGGGGGUAGAGCACUGUUUCGGCAAGGGGGUCAUCCCGACUUACCAACCCGAUGCAAACUGCGAAUACCGGAGAAUGUUAUCACGGGAGACACACGGCGGGUGCUAACGUCCGUCGUGAAGAGGGAAACAACCCAGACCGCCAGCUAAGGUCCCAAAGUCAUGGUUAAGUGGGAAACGAUGUGGGAAGGCCCAGACAGCCAGGAUGUUGGCUUAGAAGCAGCCAUCAUUUAAAGAAAGCGUAAUAGCUCACUGGUCGAGUCGGCCUGCGCGGAAGAUGUAACGGGGCUAAACCAUGCACCGAAGCUGCGGCAGCGACACUAUGUGUUGUUGGGUAGGGGAGCGUUCUGUAAGCCUGUGAAGGUGUACUGUGAGGUAUGCUGGAGGUAUCAGAAGUGCGAAUGCUGACAUAAGUAACGAUAAAGCGGGUGAAAAGCCCGCUCGCCGGAAGACCAAGGGUUCCUGUCCAACGUUAAUCGGGGCAGGGUGAGUCGACCCCUAAGGCGAGGCCGAAAGGCGUAGUCGAUGGGAAACAGGUUAAUAUUCCUGUACUUGGUGUUACUGCGAAGGGGGGACGGAGAAGGCUAUGUUGGCCGGGCGACGGUUGUCCCGGUUUAAGCGUGUAGGCUGGUUUUCCAGGCAAAUCCGGAAAAUCAAGGCUGAGGCGUGAUGACGAGGCACUACGGUGCUGAAGCAACAAAUGCCCUGCUUCCAGGAAAAGCCUCUAAGCAUCAGGUAACAUCAAAUCGUACCCCAAACCGACACAGGUGGUCAGGUAGAGAAUACCAAGGCGCUUGAGAGAACUCGGGUGAAGGAACUAGGCAAAAUGGUGCCGUAACUUCGGGAGAAGGCACGCUGAUAUGUAGGUGAAGCGACUUGCUCGUGGAGCUGAAAUCAGUCGAAGAUACCAGCUGGCUGCAACUGUUUAUUAAAAACACAGCACUGUGCAAACACGAAAGUGGACGUAUACGGUGUGACGCCUGCCCGGUGCCGGAAGGUUAAUUGAUGGGGUUAGCGCAAGCGAAGCUCUUGAUCGAAGCCCCGGUAAACGGCGGCCGUAACUAUAACGGUCCUAAGGUAGCGAAAUUCCUUGUCGGGUAAGUUCCGACCUGCACGAAUGGCGUAAUGAUGGCCAGGCUGUCUCCACCCGAGACUCAGUGAAAUUGAACUCGCUGUGAAGAUGCAGUGUACCCGCGGCAAGACGGAAAGACCCCGUGAACCUUUACUAUAGCUUGACACUGAACAUUGAGCCUUGAUGUGUAGGAUAGGUGGGAGGCUUUGAAGUGUGGACGCCAGUCUGCAUGGAGCCGACCUUGAAAUACCACCCUUUAAUGUUUGAUGUUCUAACGUUG
RNAcentral lists this ribosomal RNA (1847 nucleotides) under Escherichia coli. Its description in RNAcentral is "partial 23S ribosomal RNA". It matches the Rfam family "Bacterial large subunit ribosomal RNA", at positions 397 to 2230 of the family's 2925-position model. The record is from RNAcentral. Lineage: Bacteria; Pseudomonadati; Pseudomonadota; Gammaproteobacteria; Enterobacterales; Enterobacteriaceae.